Molecule: ribosomal RNA, 549 nt
Filed under: uncultured Glomeromycotina
Lineage: Eukaryota; Fungi; Glomeromycota
Description: SSU rRNA
Rfam family: Eukaryotic small subunit ribosomal RNA
Source: RNAcentral
UUGGAGGGCAAGUCUGGUGCCAGCAGCCGCGGUAAUUCCAGCUCCAAUAGCGUAUAUUAAAGUUGUUGCAGUUAAAAAGCUCGUAGUUGAAUUUCGGGAUCAAUAUGUCGGUCGUGCCUUUGGUACGUACUGGCAUCAUUGGUUUCUCCCUUCUGACAAACCAUGAUGUCAUUAAUUUGGUGUUAUGGGGAGUUAGGACUGUUACUUUGAAAAAAUUAGAGUGUUUAAAGCAGGCAUUAGCUUGAAUACAUUAGCAUGGAAUAAUGAAAUAGGACGUUUGACCCUAUUUUGUUGGUUUCUAGGAUCGACGUAAUGAUUAAUAGGGAUAGUUGGGGGCAUUAGUAUUCAAUUGUCAGAGGUGAAAUUCUUGGAUUUAUUGAAGACUAACUACUGCGAAAGCAUUUGCCAAGGAUGUUUUCAUUAAUCAAGAACGAAAGUUAGGGGAUCGAAGACGAUCAGAUACCGUCGUAGUCUUAACCAUAAACUAUGCCGACUAGGGAUCGGAUGAUGUUAAUUUUUUAAUGACUCAUUCGGCGCCUUACGGGAAAC